RNAcentral lists this ribosomal RNA (399 nucleotides) under uncultured archaeon. RNAcentral's name for it is "bacterial SSU rRNA". It matches the Rfam family "Archaeal small subunit ribosomal RNA", at positions 854 to 1252 of the family's 1478-position model. The record is from RNAcentral.
ACUUAAAGGAAUUGGCGGGGGAGCACUACAACGGGUGGAGCCCGCGGUUUAAUUGGAUUCAACGCCGGGAAGCUUACCGGGAUCGACAGCGAUAUGAAGGCCAGGCUGAAGACCUUGCCGGAUUAGCUGAGAGGUGGUGCAUGGCCGUCGUCAGUUCGUACUGUGAAGCAUCCUGUUAAGUCAGGCAACGAGCGAGACCCACGCCCACAGUUGCCAGCGUACUCUCUGGAGUGACGGGUACACUGUGGGGACCGCCGCUGCUAAAGCGGAGGAAGGAAUGGGCAACGGUAGGUCAGUAUGCCCCGAAUGUCCCGGGCUACACGCGGGCUACAAUGGUUGGUACAAUGGGUAUCUACCCCGAAAGGGGAUGGAAAUCUCCUAAAGCCAAUCUUAGUUCGG